RNAcentral lists this ribosomal RNA (1349 nucleotides) under metagenome. RNAcentral's name for it is "bacterial LSU rRNA". It matches the Rfam family "Bacterial large subunit ribosomal RNA", at positions 1564 to 2925 of the family's 2925-position model. The record is from RNAcentral.
UGAGUACGAGCUGCUACGGCAGCGAAGUGGGUGACGUCAAGCUUCCAAGAAAAGCCCUAUACCCGUUAAGGCAUGACGGCCUGUACCCGAAACCGACACAGGUGGGGUGGUAGAGAAUACCGAGGGGCGCGAGGUAACUCUCUCUAAGGAACUCGGCAAAAUGGCCCCGUAACUUCGGGAGAAGGGGUGCCACCGCAAGGUGGUCGCAGUGAAGAGGCCCAGGCGACUGUUUACCAAAAACACAGGUCUCCGCUAAGUCGCAAGACGAUGUAUGGGGGCUGACGCCUGCCCAGUGCCGGAAGGUUAAGGAAGCUGGUCAGCGUAAGCGAAGCUGGCGACUGAAGCCCCGGUGAACGGCGGCCGUAACUAUAACGGUCCUAAGGUAGCGAAAUUCCUUGUCGGGUAAGUUCCGACCCGCACGAAAGGCGUAACGAUCUGGGCGCUGUCUCGGAGAGAGGCUCGGCGAAAUAGAAUUGUCUGUGAAGAUGCGGACUACGUGCACCCGGACAGAAAGACCCUAUGAAGCUUUACUGUAGCUUGGUAUCGUGCCCGGGCUCUGAAUGCGCAGGAUAGGUGGGAGGCUUUGAUCCAUUGCUUGUGGGUGAUGGUGAGCCAACGGUGAGAUACCACUCUUUCAGAGCUAGGGUUCUAACGGUCACCCGUCAUCCGGGGACCGGACAGUAUCAGGUGGGCAGUUUGACUGGGGCGGUCGCCUCCUAAAAGGUAACGGAGGCGCGCAAAGGUUCCCUCAGGCUGGUUGGAAAUCAGCCGACGAGUGUAAAGGCAGAAGGGAGCUUGACUGUGAGACCUACAAGUCGAACAGGGACGAAAGUCGGCCUUAGUGAUCCGACGGUUCUGAGUGGAAGGGCCGUCGCUCAACGGAUAAAAGUUACUCUAAGGAUAACAGGCUGAUCUCCCCCAAGAGUUCACAUCGACGGGGAGGUUUGGCACCUCGAUGUCGGUUCAUCGCAACCUGGGGCUGAAGUCGGUCCCAAGGGUUGGGCUGUUCGCCCAUUAAGGCGGUACGCGAGCUGGGUUCAGAACGUCGUGAGACAGUUCGGUCCAUAUCCGGUGCAUGCGCAGGAAUAUUGAGAGGAUUUCUCCCUAGUACGAGAGGACCGGGAGGAACGCACCUCUGGUGUGCCAGUUAUCGUGCCAACGGUAAACGCUGGGUAGCCAUGUGCGGAGUGGAUAACCGCUGAAAGCAUCUAAGUGGGAAGCCCACCUCAAGAUGAGUAUUCCCAUGGCGUUAGCCAGUAAGGUCACGGGCAGAACACCCGUUGAUAGGCUCUACGUGGAAGCCGGGUAACCGGUGAAGCGGAGGAGUACUAAUAGACCGAGGGCUUGAC